UUGCUUUUGAAGAUCAGCGGCGGACGGGUGAGUAACACGUGGGCAACCUGCCUGUAAGACUGGGAUAACUUCGGGAAACCGGAGCUAAUACCGGAUAAUCCUUUCCCUCACAUGAGGGAAAGCUGAAAGACGGUUUCGGCUGUCACUUACAGAUGGGCCCGCGGCGCAUUAGCUAGUUGGUGAGGUAAUGGCUCACCAAGGCAACGAUGCGUAGCCGACCUGAGAGGGUGAUCGGCCACACUGGGACUGAGACACGGCCCAGACUCCUACGGGAGGCAGCAGUAGGGAAUCUUCCGCAAUGGACGAAAGUCUGACGGAGCAACGCCGCGUGAGCGAUGAAGGCCUUCGGGUCGUAAAGCUCUGUUGUCAGGGAAGAACAAGUACCGGAGUAACUGCCGGUACCUUGACGGUACCUGACCAGAAAGCCACGGCUAACUACGUGCCAGCAGCCGCGGUAAUACGUAGGUGGCAAGCGUUGUCCGGAAUUAUUGGGCGUAAAGCGCGCGCAGGCGGUUCCUUAAGUCUGAUGUGAAAGCCCCCGGCUCAACCGGGGAGGGUCAUUGGAAACUGGGGAACUUGAGUGCAGAAGAGGAGAGCGGAAUUCCACGUGUAGCGGUGAAAUGCGUAGAGAUGUGGAGGAACACCAGUGGCGAAGGCGGCUCUCUGGUCUGUAACUGACGCUGAGGCGCGAAAGCGUGGGGAGCGAACAGGAUUAGAUACCCUGGUAGUC
Molecule: ribosomal RNA, 730 nt
Filed under: bacterium SCSIO13063
Lineage: Bacteria
Description: bacterial SSU rRNA
Rfam family: Bacterial small subunit ribosomal RNA
Source: RNAcentral